This 62-nucleotide transfer RNA is filed under the name Ictidomys tridecemlineatus (thirteen-lined ground squirrel). RNAcentral's name for it is "Spermophilus tridecemlineatus (thirteen-lined ground squirrel) tRNA". It matches the Rfam family "tRNA", at positions 6 to 65 of the family's 71-position model. From Rfam's summary of the family: Transfer RNA (tRNA) molecules are approximately 80 nucleotides in length. Their secondary structure includes four short double-helical elements and three loops (D, anti-codon, and T loops). The record is from Rfam by way of RNAcentral. Lineage: Eukaryota; Metazoa; Chordata; Mammalia; Rodentia; Sciuridae.
UGUAGCUCAGUUGGUAGAGUGCUUGCCUCACAUGCACAAGGCCCUGGGAUCAAACCCCAGCA